RNAcentral lists this ribosomal RNA (468 nucleotides) under uncultured bacterium. RNAcentral's name for it is "partial 16S ribosomal RNA". It matches the Rfam family "Bacterial small subunit ribosomal RNA", at positions 28 to 507 of the family's 1533-position model. The record is from RNAcentral.
GACGAACGCUGGCGGCGUGCUUAACACAUGCAAGUCGAACGGAAAGGCCCUGCUUUUGUGGGGUGCUCGAGUGGCGAACGGGUGAGUAACACGUGAGUAACCUGCCCUUGACUUUGGGAUAACUUCAGGAAACUGGGGCUAAUACCGGAUAGGAGCUCCUGCUGCAGGGUGGGGGUUGGAAAGUUUCGGCGGUUGGGGAUGGACUCGCGGCUUAUCAGCUUGUUGGUGGGGUAGUGGCUUACCAAGGCUUUGACGGGUAGCCGGCCUGAGAGGGUGACCGGCCACAUUGGGACUGGGAUACGGCCCAGACUCCUACGGGAGGCAGCAGUGGGGAAUAUUGCACAAUGGGCGGAAGCCUGAUGCAGCAACGCCGCGUGCGGGAUGACGGCCUUCGGGUUGUAAACCGCUUUCGCCUGUGACGAAGCGUGAGUGACGGUAAUGGGUAAAGAAGCACCGGCUAACUACGUG